This is a long non-coding RNA of Rattus norvegicus (Norway rat), 291 nucleotides long. RefSeq lists it as uncharacterized. NCBI's taxonomy places the organism in Eukaryota, Metazoa, Chordata, Mammalia, Rodentia, Muridae. The record is from RefSeq and is a predicted model, not a curated record.
GGCUUGCUCUGAGCCCACCACUCCCCAUAUUCCAUUCAUUCCUGGCUCUUCUUUAAACUUUUAUCUCCUUGAACACUGGAUUUAACACCUCCAACUUCCUGAUUUGCAAAAGAGUGACCACUAGUAACCACAUGACAGAGUCUGCCUUGAAAUCUUCUCUGCCAAUGCCAUUAAACUCUUCAUUUUAGCCUCAGAGAAUGGCAUAUGUCAGAGGAAACAAGACUCCUCGUGCACAUAAGAAGUCACACAAGAAAUAUCUUAAAGGAAUAAAAAUUUUGAAUGGACCUGUCA